RNAcentral lists this non-coding RNA (27 nucleotides) under Homo sapiens (human). Lineage: Eukaryota; Metazoa; Chordata; Mammalia; Primates; Hominidae. The record is from RNAcentral.
UAGGCCCUUGGUGGUCCUCAUGUGGAU